Small nuclear RNA from Schistocerca piceifrons (Central American locust), 106 nucleotides. Lineage: Eukaryota; Metazoa; Arthropoda; Insecta; Orthoptera; Acrididae. The record is from RefSeq and is a predicted model, not a curated record.
GUACUUGCUUGGGCAGUACAUACAGUAAAGUUGGAACGAUACAGAGAAGUUCAGCAUGGCCUCUGAGCAAGAUUAGACGCAAAUUCGUGAAGCAUUUGAUAUUUUG